Molecule: ribosomal RNA, 385 nt
Filed under: uncultured bacterium
Lineage: Bacteria
Description: bacterial SSU rRNA
Rfam family: Bacterial small subunit ribosomal RNA
Source: RNAcentral
AUUGAACGCUGGCGGCAUGCCUUACACAUGCAAGUCGAACGGCAGCGCGGGCAACCUGGCGGCGAGUGGCGAACGGGUGAGUAAUAUAUCGGAACCAUACCCUAGAGUGGGGGGAUAACGGUAGCGAAAGUUACGCUAAUACCGCAUACGCACUAAGGUGGAAAGUGGGGGAUCUUCGGACCUCAUGCUCAUGGAGUGGCCGAUAUCUGAUUAGCUAGUUGGUGAGGUAAAGGCUCACCAAGGCGACGAUCAGUAGCUGGUUUGAGAGAACGACCAGCCACACUGGAACUGAGACACGGUCCAGACUCCUACGGAGGCAGCAGUGGGAAUUUUGGGACAAUGGGGGCAACCCUGAUCCAGCAAUGCCGCGUGAGUGAAGAAGGCC